Molecule: long non-coding RNA, 1753 nt
Filed under: Oryzias javanicus (javanese ricefish)
Lineage: Eukaryota; Metazoa; Chordata; Actinopteri; Beloniformes; Adrianichthyidae
Description: lncRNA (ENSOJAG00000013010.1)
Source: RNAcentral
AAAAAUCCUGUAACUAUUUCUCCUUUUACCCAAAUGGUUUUGGUUCAUUCUCAUAACCGGACUCUCGUCGUCUCGAUCUGUUUGUCCUGCAGAGAAGUUCUCCCAGCAGACGAGCAGAAAGAGGAGACGGAGGAUUCUGCCGUCAAAGACCCAGAACCAGAAAAGGCGUCAGACCCUGAUCCACAGCCAGAACCUGAACCAGAACCAGAACCACAGAUCCCAAACCAGGAAGACGCUCCCGAAGCUCCGCCCGUGACCCAGCAGCCGCAGAGAGCCGCAGACGCUGCGGUCGCCAACACAGACAAAGCUGAUGAAAAGGAAGCUGAGGCUGCUGGUGACGACUGUGGCGAGAGUGUCCGCCCCGCCGUGAACGUCGAGGACGUUGACCACGAGAAAGCAGGAGGAGGCGAGGAGAGGAUCGACGCCUCCCAGACUCCCGCCCUGCAGGACCCCAAACUCACCACCCUCACCGUCCCCGUGAACCCCUCCGGGGGUCGGCAGAGUAAAGGAGACAAAGAGUAAGGAGACUGCAUGAGUGCUGUCAGUUCUGUCUUCUGUCAUUCUAGAGAUGCACGUCUGCAUAGCAUGCAUGCAUUCAUGGCAAUAAACUUCACAAACACAGGAAACAUCUUCACUUUUUGCAGCCGCGUCGAAAAAUCAAAUAAAUGAUUCUCAUAAACUACAAAAAUACAAGAGAUUCUAUUAUAAAAAGAUAAAACCGUCACCUGAAAACCUCUUUUCUGUUGCUGUCAUGCUGCUCCAUCUCUUUCUCAUCUUUUAGUUUUGUCUGUUUCGUUCAGUCCUGCACAAACUCUUUAAGUUCAACUUGAAAUAUAGAUUCUUGUUUGUUUGUUUGUUUGUUUGUUUUGGAUGCUAUAUUCUGUUUAAAGAGCUGCCAAAAAAAUGUGCAAAAACUCCCCAAAUCAUCCGAUCCUGUCAAUGCAGAACAUGCAGUGUUGCAUGAAGUGAUGUGAAGUUUUUUUUAUUUUUGUGCUUGUUUUGUUUCUCUCUGUUUUAAUGUUGUUCUCUUUUAUUUGGCUUUGUGCUUUUGGCUGCUCUGUGAUUGUUUACACGUCAUAUUUUAGCAAAAGUCAAUAAAAAAAACUGCAUCCCAGCCUUUGUGGUUUGUGUGUCUGCUGCCUGGUUGCUUCUUUUUGUUGUCUGAAUUGACGUGGUGUUUUUCACACGAACCCUCAUCCGGCCGCUCACGACGGGGUGGGAGGAGUCGCAGGAGUAUCUGGACAAAGAUGUAAGAACCCCCCCAUCACGGGUCUGCACUCACUUCUCCUAAAAACACCUGGUGGGGUUGGGCUCGGAGGCCGUGAUGCUGUGGUGUCUGCUCCAACAGCAAGCUGCUCCAUUCUCAAAGUGAGGAUGAAGACGCAGAGGUGAGCGUCCCCGUGAGGGCGUGGCCCAGCCAGUCCAGCCUGCACAGCACCGACGACGUGUGAGCAUGGCGUGCGCGGUUAGGGACCGGGGAAGUCCGGCCGGGCUCGCCUCGCUGACGUGGAACUCUGUCUCCAAGCCUGAAGGAGCGUCCGUCCUCCUCCGCCAGCCAGACCAGCGCCAUGGUGAACGAGCGUCUGCAGGAGCUGGUGAGGAUGUUCAAAGAGAGGACGGAGAAGGCCAAGGAGAAGCUCAUCGACGAAUUUCCGCUGCACGUGUUUACAUCCGAAGCCUUCUAAUGACUGAAAAAGGCCAAAGAGAAGCUCUCGACCCCUGAUGAUUUCUUUCGAGGACAGAGAAGAGAGGA